Molecule: ribosomal RNA, 497 nt
Filed under: uncultured bacterium
Lineage: Bacteria
Description: partial 16S ribosomal RNA
Rfam family: Bacterial small subunit ribosomal RNA
Source: RNAcentral
AGUGUACGCUGGCGGCGUGCCUAAUACAUGCAAGUCGAGCGAACGGACGAGAAGCUUGCUUCUCUGAUGUUAGCGGCGGACGGGUGAGUAACACGUGGAUAACCUACCUAUAAGACUGGGAUAACUUCGGGAAACCGGAGCUAAUACCGGAUAAUAUUUUGAACCGCAUGGUUCAAAAGUGAAAGACGGUCUUGCUGUCACUUAUAGAUGGAUCCGCGCUGCAUUAGCUAGUUGGUAAGGUAACGGCUUACCAAGGCAACGAUGCAUAGCCGACCUGAGAGGGUGAUCGGCCACACUGGAACUGAGACACGGUCCAGACUCCUACGGGAGGCAGCAGUAGGGAAUCUUCCGCAAUGGGCGAAAGCCUGACGGAGCAACGCCGCGUGAGUGAUGAAGGUCUUCGGAUCGUAAAACUCUGUUAUUAGGGAAGAACAUAUGUGUAAGUAACUGUGCACAUCUUGACGGUACCUAAUCAGAAAGCCACGGCUAACUACGUG